GGGCUUGACUGGAUUUGACAGCGGGCAGAAAUGGUAGGUAAGCAUACAGUGCUUCGUCGAUUGGCACUUUAAUCUCAGUCCUCAAAAUUUUAUCUGGCGAAACUAAUUACGCUCUCGCUGCCUGAUCGAAGCAUAGUAGAUGCGGGCUUAAUUCCGGCACCAGGUGCUGGAACGAGACAUCACUCGGAAGCUGUGGCUCCGAAGCCAUCCGGUACAGUGGUGCAGCAUAAUCGGAGAUAGCCGAUGCUGGCCUCGCGGCAGCGGUGAAGCUUUAGAGGAUAAGGUCGCAGUUGAUGGCUUUGGUUCUGCUGCGGCACGAAAACUUAGGCAAAGAUAAGUAUGUAGAAAGCCUAUGAUUUCCUCGUUUGGACGAGGGUUCGAUUCCCUCCAGGUCCAC
Molecule: transfer-messenger RNA, 397 nt
Filed under: uncultured Bacteroides sp.
Lineage: Bacteria; Pseudomonadati; Bacteroidota; Bacteroidia; Bacteroidales; Bacteroidaceae
Rfam family: transfer-messenger RNA
About the family: Bacterial tmRNA, also known as 10Sa RNA or SsrA, is named for its dual tRNA and mRNA-like properties.
Source: RNAcentral